GGAAUAUUGCGCAAUGGGGGAAACCCUGACGCAGCAACGCCGCGUGGAGGAAGAAGGUCUUCGGAUUGUAAACUCCUGUCUUCUG
Molecule: ribosomal RNA, 85 nt
Filed under: Clostridium sp. IS3505
Lineage: Bacteria; Bacillati; Bacillota; Clostridia; Eubacteriales; Clostridiaceae
Description: partial 16S ribosomal RNA
Rfam family: Bacterial small subunit ribosomal RNA
Source: RNAcentral